AUAUAUUCAAAACAAAGUGUUUACGUAUACUAAACCAUCCUUGUUUUUCUUUUCUUUUGUUUUUAGUUGAGACAGAGUCUGUCACCUUGGUUGGAGUUCAUUGGUGCAAUGAUCGCUCACUGCAACCUCAAAUUCCUGGACUCAAGUGAUCCUCCCAUCUCAGCCUCCUGCAUAGGUGGGACUACAUGUACCCACCACCACACCCAGCUAAUUAAAAAAAAAAUUUUUUUUUGUAGAUGCAGAGUCUCACCC
This 252-nucleotide long non-coding RNA is filed under the name Homo sapiens (human). RNAcentral describes it as "non-protein coding lnc-NUDT4-9:1". Lineage: Eukaryota; Metazoa; Chordata; Mammalia; Primates; Hominidae. The record is from RNAcentral.